Molecule: microRNA precursor, 97 nt
Filed under: Saimiri boliviensis boliviensis (Bolivian squirrel monkey)
Lineage: Eukaryota; Metazoa; Chordata; Mammalia; Primates; Cebidae
Description: miRNA (ENSSBOG00000019576.1)
Source: RNAcentral
AUUGCAUCUAUUAGGUUGGUGCAAAAGUAAUCGCGAUUUUUGCCGUUGAAAGUAAUAGCCAAAACCGCAAUUGCUUUUGCACCAACCUUAAUAACUU